Molecule: ribosomal RNA, 838 nt
Filed under: uncultured Bacillota bacterium
Lineage: Bacteria; Bacillati; Bacillota
Description: bacterial SSU rRNA
Rfam family: Bacterial small subunit ribosomal RNA
Source: RNAcentral
CGAACGCGAAAGUGGAGCAAUCCAUGAGUAGAGUGGCAAACGGGUGAGUAACGCGUGGGCGACCUACCUCUGAGUGGGGGAUAACCUUCCGAAAGGAGGGCUAAUACCGCAUGACAUCCCGUGUUUGGAUACACGGACAUCAAAGCCGGGGAUCGCAAGACCUGGCGCUUGGAGAGGGGCCCGCGUCCGAUUAGCUAGUUGGUGAGGUAACGGCUCACCAAGGCUCCGAUCGGUAUCCGGCCUGAGAGGGCGGACGGACACACUGGAACUGAGACACGGUCCAGACUCCUACGGGAGGCAGCAGUGGGGAAUUGUUCGCAAUGGGCGCAAGCCUGACGACGCAACGCCGCGUGGAGGAUGAAGACUUUCGGGUCGUAAACUCCUUUCGACCGAGAUGAAUUCCCGCCGGCCUAACACGUCGGCGGGGUGACAGUAUCGAGGGAAGAAACCCCGGCUAACUCCGUGCCAGCAGCCGCGGUAAUACGGGGGGGGUAAGCGUUGUUCGGAAUUACUGGGCGUAAAGGGUUUGUAGGUGGCUUGCUAAGUCAGACGUGAAAUCCCUCAGCUUAACUGGGGAACUGCGUCUGAUACUGGCGAGCUUGAGUGCAGGAGAGGAACGCGGAAUUCCAGGUGUAGCGGUGAAAUGCGUAGAUAUCUGGAGGAACACCGGUGGCGAAGGCGGCGUUCUGGACUGCAACUGACACUGAAAAACGAAAGCCAGGGGAGCAAACGGGAUUAGAUACCCCGGUAGUCCUGGCCCUAAACGAUGAAUGCUUGGUGUGGCGGGUAUCGAUCCCUGCCGUGCCGAAGUUAACGCGUUAAGCAUUCCGCCUGGGGA